This 77-nucleotide transfer RNA is filed under the name Desulfovibrio sp. U5L. RNAcentral's name for it is "tRNA-Asp". It matches the Rfam family "tRNA". Rfam says of the family: Transfer RNA (tRNA) molecules are approximately 80 nucleotides in length. Their secondary structure includes four short double-helical elements and three loops (D, anti-codon, and T loops). RNAcentral also lists the same sequence under 1 other name. Lineage: Bacteria; Pseudomonadati; Thermodesulfobacteriota; Desulfovibrionia; Desulfovibrionales; Desulfovibrionaceae. The record is from RNAcentral.
GGGGUCGUAGUUAAGCUGGUUAUAACGCCGGCCUGUCACGUCGGAGGGCGAGGGUUCGAGUCCCUUCGGCCCCGCCA